This is a non-coding RNA of Heterocephalus glaber (naked mole-rat), 395 nucleotides long. The record is from RefSeq and is a predicted model, not a curated record. Lineage: Eukaryota; Metazoa; Chordata; Mammalia; Rodentia; Bathyergidae.
AUUCCAAUCAGUCUUUGUCUCCUUUCUUUAUAUGUAUAUAUCUCUGAAAGACGUGCUAGCUUCAUUCAGAGAGAAGCAGCUUUUUGGAAACAACCCUGUUCAUCCUUCUUCCCACACCAGCAUGGCUGAAACAGGACAAAGGAGGACUCUGAACACAAGCUGGGAUAUGAUCAAGUCUAUUCAAAAUGUCACUGCAACAAAUCUUAAUCUGAAGCCUAAGUGGGUGGCACAGCUCCAUGGCGACUGUCUACAUUCUGAUCUGAGGACUCAGACACAUUCCAGCUGCUAGAUCACCAACCCUGCAUUUCUAGGUCCUUCUCACAGGGUUACUAUGGAGACUCAGAGGAAAGCACUUACCACAUCCCAAGAAGGCAAUAAAUGGUAUGAAAACACAA